Non-coding RNA from Cordylochernes scorpioides, 74 nucleotides. The record is from the annotation of a GenBank genome assembly. Lineage: Eukaryota; Metazoa; Arthropoda; Arachnida; Pseudoscorpiones; Chernetidae.
UUUCAAGGGAUGGGAAUCGAACCCACGACCUUCCGCUUACCGGGCAGAUGCCAUGACCACUAGGCUACCCUGGA